CYUUGGGUGGCGAGUGGCGGACGGGUGAGUAAUGUCUGGGGAUCUGCCCGRUAGAGGGGGAUAACCACUGGAAACGGUGGCUAAUACCGCAUAACGUCGCAAGACCAAAGAGGGGGACCUUCGGGCCUCUCACUAUCGGAUGAACCCAGAUGGGAUUAGCUAGUAGGUGGGGUAACGGCUCACCUAGGCGACGAUCCCUAGCUGGUCUGAGAGGAUGACCAGCCACACUGGAACUGAGACACGGUCCAGACUCCUACGGGAGGCAGCAGUGGGGAAUAUUGCACAAUGGGCGCAAGCCUGAUGCAGCCAUGCCGCGUGUAUGAAGAAGGCCUUCGGGUUGUAAAGUACUUUCAGCGGGGAGGAAGGGAUGAAGCUGGCGGCAGGCCGUCAUUUACGUUACCCGCAGAAGAAGCACCGGCU
RNAcentral lists this ribosomal RNA (420 nucleotides) under Enterobacteriaceae bacterium 'ARUP UnID 522'. RNAcentral's name for it is "bacterial SSU rRNA". It matches the Rfam family "Bacterial small subunit ribosomal RNA", at positions 82 to 498 of the family's 1533-position model. The record is from RNAcentral. Lineage: Bacteria; Pseudomonadati; Pseudomonadota; Gammaproteobacteria; Enterobacterales; Enterobacteriaceae.